GACGAACGCUGGCGGCGUGCUUAACACAUGCAAGUCGAACGCUGAAGACCUGGCUUUUGUUGGGUUGGAUGAGUGGCGAACGGGUGAGUAACACGCGAGUAACCUGCCCUCUUCUUUGGGAUAACGCCCGGAAACGGGUGCUAAUACUGGAUAUUCACUGAUCUUCGCAUGGGGGUUGGUGGAAAGGUUUGUUCUGGUGGGGGAUGGGCUCGCGGCCUAUCAGCUUGUUGGUGGGGUGAUGGCCUACCAAGGCUUUGACGGGUAGCCGGCCUGAGAGGGUGACCGGUCACAUUGGGACUGAGAUACGGCCCAGACUCCUACGGGAGGCAGCAGUGGGGAAUAUUGCACAAUGGGCGAAAGCCUGAUGCAGCGACGCCGCGUGAGGGAUGGAGGCCUUCGGGUUGUAAACCUCUUUCGCUCAUGGUCAAGCCGCAACUGUGGGUUGUGGUGAGGGUAGUGGGUAAAGAAGCGCCGGCUAACUACGUG
Molecule: ribosomal RNA, 486 nt
Filed under: uncultured bacterium
Lineage: Bacteria
Description: partial 16S ribosomal RNA
Rfam family: Bacterial small subunit ribosomal RNA
Source: RNAcentral